AUGAACGCUAGCGACAGGCUAACACAUGCAAGUCGAGGGCGAACAGGGUAGCAAUACCGCUGACGACCGGCGCACGGGUGAGUAACGCGUAUGCAACCUGCCUAUAACUGGGGAAUAGCUCCCUGAAAGGGGAAUUAACACCGCAUAACACUAUUGAUUCGCAUGGAUUAGUAGUUAAAUGUAGCGAUACAGGUUAUAGAUGGGCAUGCGUGACAUUAGCUAGUUGGUGAGGUAACGGCUCACCAAGGCUACGAUGUCUAGGGGUUCUGAGAGGAAGGUCCCCCCACACUGGUACUGAGACACGGACCAGACUCCUACGGGAGGCAGCAGUGAGGAAUAUUGGUCAAUGGGCGCAAGCCUGAACCAGCCAUGUCGCGUGCAGGAAGAACCUGCCCUAUGGGUUGUAAACUGCUUUUAUAGUAGAAGAAACACAUCUACGCGUAGAUGUCUGCCAGUAUACUAUGAAUAAGCAUCGGCUAACUCCGUGCCAGCCGCCGC
This 498-nucleotide ribosomal RNA is filed under the name uncultured bacterium. RNAcentral's name for it is "bacterial SSU rRNA". It matches the Rfam family "Bacterial small subunit ribosomal RNA", at positions 29 to 518 of the family's 1533-position model. The record is from RNAcentral.